RNAcentral lists this ribosomal RNA (253 nucleotides) under uncultured bacterium. Its description in RNAcentral is "partial 16S ribosomal RNA". It matches the Rfam family "Bacterial small subunit ribosomal RNA", at positions 524 to 776 of the family's 1533-position model. The record is from RNAcentral.
UACAGAGGGUGCGAGCGUUAUUCGGAAUUACUGGGCGUAAAGCGCGCGUAGGCGGCUUUGCAAGUCGGGUGUGAAAUCCCCAGGCUUAACCUGGGAACUGCAUUCGAUACUGCCGUGCUUGAGGACUGGAGAGGAGACUGGAAUUUACGGUGUAGCGGUGAAAUGCGUAGAUAUCGUAAGGAAGACCAGUGGCGAAGGCGGGUCUCUGGACAGUUCCUGACGCUGAGGCACGAAGGUCAGGGGAGCAAACGGG